This 598-nucleotide ribosomal RNA is filed under the name uncultured bacterium. Its description in RNAcentral is "bacterial SSU rRNA". It matches the Rfam family "Bacterial small subunit ribosomal RNA", at positions 61 to 654 of the family's 1533-position model. The record is from RNAcentral.
GUCGAGCGGUAGAGAGGUGCUUGCACCUCUUGAGAGCGGCGGACGGGUGAGUAAAGCCUAGGAAUCUGCCUGGUAGUGGGGGAUAACGCUCGGAAACGGACGCUAAUACCGCAUACGUCCUACGGGAGAAAGCAGGGGACCUUCGGGCCUUGCGCUAUCAGAUGAGCCUAGGUCGGAUUAGCUAGUUGGUGAGGUAAUGGCUCACCAAGGCGACGAUCCGUAACUGGUCUGAGAGGAUGAUCAGUCACACUGGAACUGAGACACGGUCCAGACUCCUACGGGAGGCAGCAGUGGGGAAUAUUGGACAAUGGGCGAAAGCCUGAUCCAGCCAUGCCGCGUGUGUGAAGAAGGUCUUCGGAUUGUAAAGCACUUUAAGUUGGGAGGAAGGGCAUUAACCUAAUACGUUAGUGUUUUGACGUUACCGACAGAAUAAGCACCGGCUAACUCUGUGCCAGCAGCCGCGGUAAUACAGAGGGUGCAAGCGUUAAUCGGAAUUACUGGGCGUAAAGCGCGCGUAGGUGGUUCGUUAAGUUGGAUGUGAAAUCCCCGGGCUCAACCUGGGAACUGCAUUCAAAACUGUCGAGCUAGAGUAUGGUAG